RNAcentral lists this transfer RNA (73 nucleotides) under Bos taurus (domestic cattle). It matches the Rfam family "tRNA". From Rfam's summary of the family: Transfer RNA (tRNA) molecules are approximately 80 nucleotides in length. Their secondary structure includes four short double-helical elements and three loops (D, anti-codon, and T loops). Lineage: Eukaryota; Metazoa; Chordata; Mammalia; Artiodactyla; Bovidae. RNAcentral also lists the same sequence under 4 other names. The record is from Rfam by way of RNAcentral.
UCCCUGGUGGUCCAGUUGGAAAGACUCUGUGCUCUCAAUGCAGGGGGCCCAGGUUCUAUCCCUGAUCAGGGAA